Molecule: ribosomal RNA, 433 nt
Filed under: uncultured bacterium
Lineage: Bacteria
Description: partial 16S ribosomal RNA
Rfam family: Bacterial small subunit ribosomal RNA
Source: RNAcentral
AGCGAACGCUGGCGGCAGGCCUAACACAUGCAAGUCGAACGAACUCUUCGGAGUUAGUGGCGGACGGGUGAGUAACACGUGGGAACGUGCCUUUUGGUUCGGAAUAACUCAGGGAAACUUGUGCUAAUACCGAAUGUGCCCUUCGGGGGAAAGAUUUAUCGCCAUUAGAGCGGCCCGCGUCUGAUUAGCUAGUUGGUGAGGUAACGGCUCACCAAGGCGACGAUCAGUAGCUGGUCUGAGAGGAUGACCAGCCACACUGGGACUGAGACACGGCCCAGACUCCUACGGGAGGCAGCAGUGGGGAAUCUUGCGCAAUGGGCGAAAGGCUGACGCAGCCAUGCCGCGUGAAUGAUGAAGGUCUUAGGAUUGUAAAAUUCUUUCAACGGGGACGAUAAUGACGGUACCCGGAGAAGAAGCCCCGGCUAACUUCGUG